Molecule: ribosomal RNA, 301 nt
Filed under: uncultured bacterium
Lineage: Bacteria
Description: partial 16S ribosomal RNA
Rfam family: Bacterial small subunit ribosomal RNA
Source: RNAcentral
CAGUCGCCACGGUAAUACGUAGGGUGCAAGCGUUAAUCGGAAUUACUGGGCGUAAAGCGUGCGCAGGCGGUUAUAUAAGACAGAUGUGAAAUCCCCGGGCUCAACCUGGGAACUGCAUUUGUGACUGUAUAGCUAGAGUACGGCAGAGGGGGAUGGAAUUCCGCGUGUAGCAGUGAAAUGCGUAGAUAUGCGGAGGAACACCGAUGGCGAAGGCAAUCCCCUGGGCCUGUACUGACGCUCAUGCACGAAAGCGUGGGGAGCAAACAGGAUUAGAUACCCGGGUAGUCCCUGUCUCUUAUAU